AUACGUAGGGUGCGAGCGUUGUCCGGAAUUACUGGGCGUAAAGAGCUCGUAGGUGGUUUGUCGCGUCGUCUGUGAAAUUCCGGGGCUUAACUCCGGGCGUGCAGGCGAUACGGGCAUAACUUGAGUACUGUAGGGGAGACUGGAAUUCCUGGUGUAGCGGUGAAAUGCGCAGAUAUCAGGAGGAACACCGGUGGCGAAGGCGGGUCUCUGGGCAGUAACUGACGCUGAGGAGCGAAAGCAUGGGUAGCGAACAGGAUUAGAUACCCUGGUAGUCCAUGCCGUAAACGGUGGGCGCUAGGUGUAGGGGUCUUCCACGACUUCUGUGCCGUAGCUAACGCAUUGAGCGCCCCGCCUGGGGAGUACGGCCGCAAGGCUAAAACUCAAAGGAAUUGACGGGG
This 398-nucleotide ribosomal RNA is filed under the name uncultured bacterium. RNAcentral's name for it is "partial 16S ribosomal RNA". It matches the Rfam family "Bacterial small subunit ribosomal RNA", at positions 523 to 918 of the family's 1533-position model. The record is from RNAcentral.